ACUGCUCAGUAACACGUAGUCAACAUGCCCAGGGGACGUGGAUAACCUCGGGAAACUGAGGAUAAACCGCGAUAAGUCACUACUUCUGGAAUGGGUAAUGACUCAAAUCUAUAUGGCCUCUGGAUUGGACUGCGGCCGAUCAGGCUGUUGGUGAGGUAAUGGCCCACCAAACCUGUAACCGGUACGGGCUCUGAGAGGAGGAGCCCGGAGAUGGGCACUGAGACAAGGGCCCAGGCCCUAUGGGGCGCAGCAGGCGCGAAACCUCUGCAAUAGGCGAAAGCUUGACAGGGUUACUCUGAGUGAUUUCCGUUAAGGAAAUCUUUUGGCACCUCUAAAAAUGGUGCAGAAUAAGGGGUGGGCAAGUCUGGUGUCAGCCGCCGCGGUAAUACCAGCACCCCGAGUGGUCGGGACGUUUAUUGGGCCUAAAGCAUCCGUAGCCGGUUCUACAAGUCUUCCGUUAAAUCCAACUGCUUAACAGAUGGGCUGCGGAAGAUACUAUAGAGCUAGGAGGCGGGAGAGGCAAGCGGUACUCGAUGGGUAGGGGUAAAAUCCGUUGAUCCAUUGAAGACCACCAGUGGCGAAGGCGGCUUGCCAGAACGCGCUCGACGGUGAGGGAUGAAAGCUGGGGGAGCAAACCGGAUUAGAUACCCGGGUAGUCCCAGCUGUAAACGAUGCAGACUCGGUGAUGAGUUGGCUAUAUGCCUUCUCAGUGCCGCAGGGAAGCCGUUAAGUUUGCCGCCUGGGGAGUACGGUCGCAAGACUGAAACUUAAAGGAAUUGGCGGGGGAGCAC
This 791-nucleotide ribosomal RNA is filed under the name uncultured archaeon. RNAcentral describes it as "bacterial SSU rRNA". It matches the Rfam family "Archaeal small subunit ribosomal RNA", at positions 85 to 879 of the family's 1478-position model. The record is from RNAcentral.